RNAcentral lists this ribosomal RNA (252 nucleotides) under uncultured prokaryote. RNAcentral's name for it is "partial 16S rRNA". It matches the Rfam family "Archaeal small subunit ribosomal RNA", at positions 475 to 726 of the family's 1478-position model. The record is from RNAcentral.
ACCGGCAGCUCAAGUGGUGGCCAUUAUUAUUGGGCCUAAAGCGUUCGUAGCCGGUUUGAUAAGUCUCUGGUGAAAUCCCGCAGCUUAACUGUGGGACUUGCUGGAGAUACUAUCAGACUUGAGGUCGGGAGAGGUUAGGGGUACUCCCAGGGUAGGGGUGAAAUCCUAUAAUCCUGGGAGGACCACCUGUGGCGAAGGCGCCUAACUGGAACGAACCUGACGGUGAUUAGCGAACGAGCGGGGCGUUAUCCG